UACGUAGGUCCCGAGCGUUGUCCGGAUUUAUUGGGCGUAAAGCGAGCGCAGGUGGUUUAUUAAGUCUGGUGUAAAAGGCAGUGGCUCAACCAUUGUAUGCAUUGGAAACUGGUAGACUUGAGUGCAGGAGAGGAGAGUGGAAUUCCAUGUGUAGCGGUGAAAUGCGUAGAUAUAUGGAGGAACACCGGUGGCGAAAGCGGCUAUCUGGCCUGUAACUGACACUGAGGCUCGAAAGCGUGGGGAGCAGACAGG
RNAcentral lists this ribosomal RNA (252 nucleotides) under uncultured bacterium. Its description in RNAcentral is "partial 16S ribosomal RNA". It matches the Rfam family "Bacterial small subunit ribosomal RNA", at positions 524 to 776 of the family's 1533-position model. The record is from RNAcentral.